CUCUCCUCUCCAUAUGUGUUUUCAUUAGUUUGCCUCAUUGAUAGCUAAUACUUUUGUGAGGAGUAAGGAGGGGAAGAUCUUGUCUACUAUUACAACUAUAAUUCAUAUCAACAAUGGCUUCUGCAGGUAUGAAUUUGGUUUAUUAAUUUAUUAUUUGGUGAUUAUUGAUUCUUAGCAUGAUUGAAAAUUUAAUAUUAACAAUUGGUAUCAGAGCUUUCAUGCUAAGAUCAGAAUCCCUGAAUAAAAUAAUAUUAUGUCUCGUUUUUUUUUUUUUUUUUUUUUUGCUUUCCAAAUUUUUGUUUGAUGCACCCGUAGAGGCAAUAGAGAUUCACCAUCUCUUCAGUUGCUCAAUAACAACCCUUUUGAACCUUUUUAAUUGUUGACAACACUGUCAAGAAUGAGAGAACAUAUUGAUCUCCCGAAUAUGUCGCAAAGCUACGUGAUCUGAAUGUCAAGAAAAUUCUCAUAAACCAUUCAGUAGACUAUACAUAAUAGCAGAACUAUCAACUUGGGCGAUAAAGAAGAGUUUUCACCAAUUCCUUUUUCAUUUUUUUUUACGCUCGUUGUUUCUUGAUUAUACAUUCAAAAACCGAAACCCAAUCCCUAUGUAGAGUGAUAAUUAAUUUGAGGGGUUUCUUUAAUUUCUUGGGGUCUAGAUGUUUGGUAAAAAAAAAUUACCCAGGUUAAGCCUUGUUUUAGUUCUGGGGAUUUUUCCAUCAUCUUAAUUUUGAAUUUGCAGAAAGUUGUAGAAUGCUUUAAUUGUCUAUAUAGGUUGAAUUAAAAAAAAAAAUCUAGUCAUUGAUGUGCAACUCAAGAGCCAUGUGGUAUUAUAAAUUGAAGCUACAUAAAUGAGGCAGUUUUGAGGAUCAAUAAUUAUACAUACGGAAUGCUGUGAUGGAAUUUGGCGUGGGGGCCUCCAUUGCAAUUUGUGAAAUUGGAGGCCCGUGUCUGCAAUUAGAAAUUCAGGUCAUAUUGCAAUUUUUAGAAUAGGGACCUAUCAUGCAAUAUUAAAGGACCUAAUUUUAAUUUUAAAUGGGUAAAGAUGUAAUUUUCAAUAAGGGGCUCUUAAAUUUGAACUUCUAAACUUUUGACCCUAAAAUUCUUUUUGACCAAAUUAAAACUUUAAUUGAUAAUUGACUCGAUUAAAAUAUAUUAACAUAAUUUAAUUGACGACUUUUGUAUUAUUUCAUUCAAAUGAUUAUGUAUUUAAAUAUUGUCAUUAUUUGUGCGUUUAAAUUUUAAUUUUUAUAUAUAUUGAAAUAUUGAAUUUUGUUGCCCGUUUUGUCUCCAAAUCACAUAUAAAUUUUACCGUUUAUCAAUUAAUGAUUAUGAUUUGUUACAUGAUUAUUAUUUUGUGAUUGAAUUUUUCUAUGGGCCUUGCGACGAUUCUUGUUUUCUCACCAAGAGAAAUAUUUUGAAAUAAAAAUGGGUGGUAGCUGCCAAAGUGGCACACUCAUUAUUAUUUAUUCGAUUCUCUCUAAAAUAAAAAAAAUAUACAUAUAUUUUUGCCCAACAACAUUUGAUUUAUUGCAUAUAAUAUCUUGCCCAAAGGUAUUAUUAUAUAUAAUAUUUUUGAAAAAUGGCAUGAGAAAGUUAACGAGCUUAUUUUAGUUUAAAAACUUCCUUCUGCCCAAAGGUGUUGGUGUUUCGAAAACAAGUGUAAUUUUGUUAACUGGCUGCAUGAUGUGUUUUAAGAGUACCUUAUAGCAUGUUGUAUUGUCGACCCAAAGGUGACUUUAUGAUGAUGCACCUAGGCUCUUACCGUAAUAAAAUUCAUAUGUUUCGAUUUAAAUUACGGAUUAAUUAUUAAUAGCCCAUAUUAAUUAGUUGGAUAUUUCAUCAUCCAUUUGAUUGCAUGCAUUAAGUUUGGAUGAUAUUAAGAGUGUGAUAUUUUAUGUUUCCACAGUUUAUAAUGCCUCCUCUCUUUCGAAUCAAUUGUCUGCUAUUGAAACAUUGACUGGGAAUAACUAUGUGAGAUGGAAACGAGACGUAGAAAUAGCACUUGAUUUUUUGGGCUUGGAUUUUGCAAUGGAGAAAAAGCUUGAAAAACGCACAGAUAAGAGUACCGUUGAAUAUGUAGCCGAGCAUGAAAAGUGGGAAAGGGCUAACAAACUCUGUUUGAAAAUCAUUAAGCGAUCGAUAUCUGAUUCCAUUCUAGGUGCCAUCCCUGAUAAUAAAAAUGCCAAAAGUUUUAUGGAUGCCAUAGGAGAAAAAUUUGUUGAGUCUGAUAAAGCCGAAACUGGGGAUUUGAUGGAUAAAUUUAUGAGCAUGAAAUAUGAUGGUACAAGUGGUGUUAGGGAACAUGUCAUGAAAAUGAUAAAUAUAUCAUAUAAGCUAAAGGCUCUUGAAAUUCCCAUUGCGGAGCCUUUCCUAGUCUAUCAUGUAUUGAAUAGCCUUCCUAGCAAGUUUAAUCGGCUUAAGGUUGCUUACAAUGCUCAACGGGAUAAGUGGAAUUUGAAUGAUCUCAUAGCAGUGUGUGCCCAAGAAGAGUAUAGGAUGCGCCGUGAAACUGUUGAAACUGUGCAAUUAGCUUUUCAGCCAUCACAGAAUAAGGGGCCUUUUCAUAAUCAUAAACCUAAGUUUCGUAAGGGUAAUAAGUCUCACCGAAAUCAACAGAAUAAAAAUUUUAGUGGUCCCAAAGGAGUUAUAAAGAAAAAUGAUCAAUGCAAGUUCUGUAAAAAGAAGGGUCACUGGCAGAAAGAUUGUUUUAAGUUCAAGACUUGGUUGGAAAAGAAGAAGAGUUCUCCAGGUAUUCCCUUGGCUUUAGUUUGUUUUGAGUCUUCUUUAGUAGAUGUACCUUUAAAUUCUUGGUGGUUAGACUCGGGAGCUAGUAUUCAUAUUGCAAAUUCCUUGCAGGGGUUCAUAAGCAAACGGAGGCCAAGUGAGAAUGAAGUAAGCUUGAGUGUUGCAAAUGGAUUUCAAGUGAAGGUUGAAUUCAUAGGAGUAGUGAAAUUAACUUUAGAGUCUGGUUUUUAUCUUAUUUUGGAAAAUACAGUUUAUGUACCGCAG
RNAcentral lists this long non-coding RNA (3009 nucleotides) under Olea europaea subsp. europaea. Lineage: Eukaryota; Viridiplantae; Streptophyta; Magnoliopsida; Lamiales; Oleaceae. The record is from RNAcentral.